GGUGAUUUAGCUCAGUGGUAGAGCGCUUGCCUAGCAAGCGCAAGGCCCUGGGUUCAGUCCCCAGCUCCG
Molecule: transfer RNA, 69 nt
Filed under: Rattus norvegicus (Norway rat)
Lineage: Eukaryota; Metazoa; Chordata; Mammalia; Rodentia; Muridae
Rfam family: tRNA
About the family: Transfer RNA (tRNA) molecules are approximately 80 nucleotides in length. Their secondary structure includes four short double-helical elements and three loops (D, anti-codon, and T loops). Further hydrogen bonds mediate the characteristic L-shaped molecular structure. tRNAs have two regions of fundamental functional importance: the anti-codon, which is responsible for specific mRNA codon recognition, and the 3' end, to which the tRNAs corresponding amino acid is attached (by aminoacyl-tRNA synthetases). tRNAs cope with the degeneracy of the genetic code in two manners: having more than one tRNA (with a specific anti-codon) for a particular amino acid; and 'wobble' base-pairing, i.e. permitting non-standard base-pairing at the 3rd anti-codon position.
Source: Rfam by way of RNAcentral